UACGAAGGGGGCUAGCGUUGCUCGGAAUCACUGGGCGUAAAGGGUGCGUAGGCGGGUCUUUAAGUCAGGGGUGAAAUCCUGGAGCUCAACUCCAGAACUGCCUUUGAUACUGAAGAUCUUGAGUUCGGGAGAGGUGAGUGGAACUGCGAGUGUAGAGGUGAAAUUCGUAGAUAUUCGGAAGAACACCAGUGGCGAAGGCGACAUACUGGCCCAAUACUGACGCUGAGGCUCGAAAGCGUGGGGAGCAAACAGG
This 253-nucleotide ribosomal RNA is filed under the name uncultured bacterium. Its description in RNAcentral is "partial 16S ribosomal RNA". It matches the Rfam family "Bacterial small subunit ribosomal RNA", at positions 524 to 776 of the family's 1533-position model. The record is from RNAcentral.